AAGCAAGAAAAUUGGCCAUCUGACCUUGAAGGAGAUCAAAUUGUUUGUCUCUCCUUUCAACCUGACCUGGAAGAAUAUCAAAUCUCUUCAUUUCACUAGCCUUGGUCUCUUGAAGCUCUGCUGUCAGUUUUGUGAUCUCUCUUCCAUAGCCGAUAUAGCCAAACUAUCAAUAACCUUGCCUUGGGCCGAAGUCCCUAUACCUUGCAAUCCAGCCCUUUAGCACCGAAAUAAUUUAUCGGAAAGGCCAUAUGCUAUCCCCUUUUUAGGACCACCGACAGUAUCCAACCAUAUCAUCUUCUCUUCUUUGUCUGAAAUGGGCGGUAGCUCGCCUUCCUCAUUCGGUGGCAAGCUCUAAGUGUACUCCUCCAAAUUGCUUUUGUAGCGAC
Molecule: long non-coding RNA, 386 nt
Filed under: Nicotiana benthamiana
Lineage: Eukaryota; Viridiplantae; Streptophyta; Magnoliopsida; Solanales; Solanaceae
Description: long non-coding RNA (NBEN_LNC027810)
Source: RNAcentral